Molecule: ribosomal RNA, 776 nt
Filed under: uncultured Neocallimastigales
Lineage: Eukaryota; Fungi; Neocallimastigomycota; Neocallimastigomycetes; Neocallimastigales
Description: partial large subunit ribosomal RNA
Rfam family: Eukaryotic large subunit ribosomal RNA
Source: RNAcentral
AUAUCAGUCAUGCAUAGCAUAUCAAUAAGCGGAGGAAAAGAAACUAACAAGGAUUCCCUUAGUAACGGCGAGUGAAGCGGGAAGAGCUCAAAUUUGAAAUCUUCAAGGUUCUACCUUGACGAAUUGUAGUUUAUAGAAGUGUUUUCUGUUAGUGGAGUGGCAAAAGUUCUUUGGAAUAGGACAUCAUAGAGGGUGAGAAUCCCGUAUUUGGUCAUUCCUCCUAGCGUUGUAAUACACUUUCAACGAGUCGGAUUGUUUGGGAAUGCAGUCCAAAAUGGGUGGUAAAUUUCAUCUAAAGCUAAAUAUUGGCGAGAGACCGAUAGCGAACAAGUACCGUGAGGGAAAGAUGAAAAGAACUUUGAAAAGAGAGUUAAACAGUACGUGAAAUUGUCAAAAGGGAAGCGUUUGACACCAGUGUUGUUUUUCCGAAAAUCAAUUACGAAUGUUUUGUUUUUAAGAAGUUAUGACUUCAUCGGCUUGCUUCUCUCUUUAUGAAACUUUCUUAAUGCACUUUUCGGUUAACAAGUCAACAUCAAUUUCUUUUGUUGUAAAAGGGUACGAGGAAGGUGGCUUUCUUUUCGGAGAAAGUGUUUAUAGCCUUGUAGCCUCUGCAAUCGGAGAGAUUGAGGUCUGCAGCGUAGAUCCUUCGGGGUUAGAUACAGUUUGUGCUAAGUUAUAGCUUUUCAUAGACAACUUGUUGACUAUGUUUAGUCUUGUAGCUUACUCGCUGAUGCUAUUUUACCUACGCUUAGGAUGUUGAUCUCUCACAGUCGAGC